RNAcentral lists this ribosomal RNA (253 nucleotides) under uncultured Eubacteriales bacterium. RNAcentral's name for it is "uncultured Clostridiales bacterium partial 16S ribosomal RNA". It matches the Rfam family "Bacterial small subunit ribosomal RNA", at positions 524 to 776 of the family's 1533-position model. The record is from RNAcentral. Lineage: Bacteria; Bacillati; Bacillota; Clostridia; Eubacteriales.
UACGUAGGGGGCAAGCGUUGUCCGGAAUGACUGGGCGUAAAGGGAGUGUAGGCGGCCUUUUAAGUUAUAUGUGAAAGCCCCCGGCUUAACCGAGGAACUGCAUAUAAAACUGGAGGGCUGGAGUGCAGGAGAGGUAAGCGGAAUUUCUAGUGUAGCGGUGGAAUGCGUAGAUAUCAGGAGGAACAUCGGUGGCGUAAGCGCUUUACUGGGCCGUAAUUGACGCUGAGGAACGAAAGCCAGGGUAGCAAAUGGG